Molecule: long non-coding RNA, 313 nt
Organism: Sinocyclocheilus grahami
Lineage: Eukaryota; Metazoa; Chordata; Actinopteri; Cypriniformes; Cyprinidae
Exons: 3
Source: RefSeq, a predicted model, not a curated record
UACCCAUGAGCUCCUGCAGCACAGUCGAGGAAGAAGGUUCCAGUGGAUUUGACAUUCGUAAGCGUGAGUCGCGUGACUGGAGAGCGACUGUACUGCAGCCAAAGUCGUCGGAUGCACAAUGUCCCAGCCGUCUCCAGCCGACCCUGAACGGCCAGGAAAUGCAGUCGUGGGUCCCGUAGGAAUUGACUACAUCCCCACAGAGGAGGAGAGGAGCAUGUUCAGGGAGUGUAAUCAGGAAAGCUUCUGGUACAGAUCACUCCCCAUAUCUGCCAUCAGCAUGGCCUUCACUCAGUUCCUUAUCUCUAGAGGUGGG